Nycticebus coucang (slow loris) is the source of this 135-nucleotide small nucleolar RNA. RefSeq annotates it as small nucleolar RNA SNORA55. The record is from RefSeq and is a predicted model, not a curated record. The transcript has a single exon. NCBI's taxonomy places the organism in Eukaryota, Metazoa, Chordata, Mammalia, Primates, Lorisidae.
GCACCUAAAUUUUGUCCAUUACUUGCUAAUUUGUGCUUGUAUGAGAACUGAUGGUGCUACAAUACAAGUAGAGGAAAUCCACAGAAAUUGUUUUUCAUUUAUCUUGAGACCUGUCUCUGCAACUCUACCAUAUUU